RNAcentral lists this ribosomal RNA (506 nucleotides) under uncultured bacterium. Its description in RNAcentral is "partial 16S ribosomal RNA". It matches the Rfam family "Bacterial small subunit ribosomal RNA", at positions 28 to 523 of the family's 1533-position model. The record is from RNAcentral.
GAUGAACGCUAGCUACAGGCUUAACACAUGCAAGUCGAGGGGUAACGAGAGGAAAGCUUGCUUUCCUUGUAGACGACCGGCGCACGGGUGAGUAACGCGUAUCCAACCUGCCCCCAACUAGGGAAUAACCUUGCGAAAGUAAGACUAAUACCCUAUAAUUUCCUCAGAUGUCAUCUGACGAGGAAUAAAGAUUUAUCGGUUGUGGAUGGGGAUGCGUCGGAUUAGCUUGUUGGCGGGGUAACGGCCCACCAAGGCAACGAUCAGUAGGGGUUCUGGGAGGAAGGUCCCCCACAUUGGAGCUGAGACACGGUCCAAGCACCUACGGGAGGCAGCAGUUAGUAAUAUUGGUCAAUGGGCGGAGGCCUGAACUAGCCAAGUAGCGUGCAGGAUGACGGCCCUAUGGGUUGUAGACUGCUUUGAGACUGGAAUAAAGUUAGCCGCGUGUGGUUAUUUGUAGGUAGUGUAUGAAUAAGGACCGGCUAAUUCCGUGCCAGCCGCCGCGGUAA